UAGUCCACACCGUAAACGAUGAGAACUAGUUGUUGGGGGAAUUUGUCCCUCAGUGACGCAGCUAACGCAUUAAGUUCUCCGCCUGGGGAGUACGCCGGCAACGGUAAAACUCAAAGGAAUUGACGGGGACCCGCACAAGCGGUGGAGCAUGUGGUUUAAUUCGAUGCAACGCGAAGAACCUUACCUGCCCUUGACAUUGACAGAACCUCAGAGAGAUCUGAGGGUGCUUCGGCCUGGAAAACAGGUGCUGCAUGGCUGUCGUCAGCUCGUGUCGUGAGAUGUUGGGUUAAGUCCCGCAACGAGCGCAACCCUUAUUUUAGUUGCCAUUUGGAAAUCUAGAAAGACUGCCGGUUAUAAACCGGAGGAAGGCGGGGAUGACGUCAAGUCAGCAUGCCCCUUACACUCUGGGCUACACACGUGCUACAAUGGGCAAGACAAUAAGUUGCAAACCUGUGAAGGUUAGCUAAUCUAUAAACUUGUUCUAAGUUCGGAUUGUAGGCUGCAACUCGCCUACA
RNAcentral lists this ribosomal RNA (515 nucleotides) under uncultured bacterium. RNAcentral's name for it is "bacterial SSU rRNA". It matches the Rfam family "Bacterial small subunit ribosomal RNA", at positions 791 to 1320 of the family's 1533-position model. The record is from RNAcentral.